RNAcentral lists this ribosomal RNA (254 nucleotides) under uncultured bacterium. RNAcentral's name for it is "partial 16S ribosomal RNA". It matches the Rfam family "Bacterial small subunit ribosomal RNA", at positions 524 to 776 of the family's 1533-position model. The record is from RNAcentral.
UACGUAGGGUCCAAGCGUUAUCCGGAAUUACUGGGCGUAAAGCGUGUGUAGGCGGGAGUUUAAGUGCAAUGCGAAAUCUUGUGGCUCAACCAUAUAGACUGUAUUGCAUACUGGACAGCUUGAGGACGUGAGAGGCAAGUGGAAUUGGUAGUGUAGCAGUGAAAUGCGUAGAUAUUACCAGGAACACCAAUGGCGAAGGCAGCUUGCUGGCACGUAUCUGACGCUGAGACACGAAAGCGUGGGGAGCGAACAGG